Molecule: small RNA, 1971 nt
Filed under: Pongo abelii (Sumatran orangutan)
Lineage: Eukaryota; Metazoa; Chordata; Mammalia; Primates; Hominidae
Description: retained intron
Source: RNAcentral
GCCCCGCCCGCUUGGCGCGCGCCCCCGCCAGGUCCGCUCUCUUCCCCAACCCCUGGCGCGGACGGGGUGGUUCCAGCUCACUCUCCUCCCCCGAGCGGCAGCGGCGGCGGCGGCUGCUGCGGGCGCUGAAUGAGAGACGGUGACUGUUCGGGUCGGCGAGUGCUACUCCAGGCGGCGGCGGCGGCCGUGGCGGUGAAGCGUGAGGCCGGCGUCGUCUUUCCAUCCUCUGAGGCGACGGCCGCGGCUGCACAGGAAUAAUGUAUUUGUGGCCUUGGACAUGAGGCAAUCAGUCCUCUGUUGCUGUUAACAUAAGGUCAGGGACUGAUGAGGAAAGCAUGGACCUAAUGAACGGGCAGGCAAGCAGUGUCAAUAUUGCAGCUACUGCUUCUGAGAAAAGUAGCAGCUCUGAAUCCUUAAGUGACAAAGGCUCUGAAUUGAAGAAAAGCUUUGAUGCUGUGGUAUUCGAUGUUCUUAAGGUUACACCAGAAGAAUAUGCGGGUCAGAUAACAUUAAUGGAUGUUCCAGUAUUUAAAGCUAUUCAACCAGAUGAGCUUUCAAGUUGUGGAUGGAAUAAAAAAGAAAAAUAUAGUUCUGCACCAAAUGCAGUUGCCUUCACAAGAAGAUUCAAUCAUGUAAGCUUUUGGGUUGUUAGAGAGAUUCUUCAUGCUCAAACAUUAAAAAUUAGAGCAGAAGUUUUGAGCCACUAUAUUAAAACUGCUAAGAAACUGUAUGAGCUGAAUAACCUUCAUGCACUUAUGGCAGUGGUUUCUGGCCUACAGAGUGCCCCAAUUUUCAGGUUGACUAAAACAUGGGCGUUAUUAAGUCGAAAAGACAAAACUACCUUUGAAAAAUUAGAAUAUGUAAUGAGUAAAGAAGAUAACUACAAAAGACUCAGAGACUAUAUAAGUAGCUUAAAGAUGACACCUUGCAUUCCCUAUUUAGGUAUCUAUUUGUCAGAUUUAACAUACAUCGAUUCAGCAUACCCAUCAACUGGAAGCAUUCUAGAAAAUGAGCAAAGAUCAAAUUUAAUGAAUAAUAUCCUUCGAAUAAUUUCUGAUUUACAACAAUCUUGUGAAUAUGAUAUUCCCAUGUUGCCUCAUGUCCAAAAAUAUCUGAACUCCGUUCAGUAUAUAGAAGAACUACAAAAAUUUGUGGAAGACGAUAAUUACAAGUAGGUUGGAUCUUCAAAAGUGGUUUGUAUGACUUUGUCCUGUCCUCCACCUUUCUAUCCCUAUGUAUUUAAACAUCUAAAUCCUACAUGGUGUCAUACAAAGGACUAAUCCAGUGGUAGGUUUACAGCAGUAAAGGUACUAACAUGUAUUACUUCUUAAUGACUUGUUAUGAUUGAGCCAAUAUACAAAUACCUCAUCUGUUCUUUUUAAUAUUUUAUCUCUCUGUUUGUAGAGAGCUAACGUUUGAUAGUUCUAAUUUAAAUUUCUUCCUUUCCCCCAUAUUCAAUCAUUGAAUCCUUACAGAAUUUGUCUUUUAAUAGAAAAAUUAAUGAAACUUUUUAAAAUAGAAAAAUUACUCUUCUUUAAUGCUAAUUAUUGACACAUCGUUGUUUGUUUUUCAUUGUUUUUGCGGAUUGAGAGACUACUGGUCCAUCUUGUCUGAGGAGAAGAGACCUUCCUCCAAUGUAGCACACUUAUCCUUUUCCCUGUAUUAUAGCAAGUUCUUUAUUAAAGAUUUUUGAGGCCGGGCACAGUGGCUCACGCCUGUAACCCCAGCACUUUGGGAGGCCGAGGUGGGUGGAUCACUUGAGGUCAGGAGUUCAAGACCAGCCUGACCAAUAUAGUGAAACACUGUCUGUACUAAAAAUACAGAAUUAGCCGGGCAUGGUGCAUGCCUGUAAUCCCAGCUGCUUGGGAGGCUGAGGCAGGAGAAUCACUUGAACACAGGAGGCAGAGGUUGCAGUGAGCCGAGAGUGCACCAUUACACUCCAGCCUGGGCAAAAAGAGCAAAACUCCAUCU